UAGGGAAUCUUCGGCAAUGGACGAAAGUCUGACCGAGCGACGCCGCGUGUGUGAUGAAGGGUUUCGGCUCGUAAAACACUGUUGUAAGAGAAGAAUGACAUUGAGAGUAACUGUUCAAUGUGUGACGGUAUCUUACCAGAAAGGAACGGCUAAAUACGUGCCAG
This 164-nucleotide ribosomal RNA is filed under the name uncultured bacterium. Its description in RNAcentral is "partial 16S rRNA". It matches the Rfam family "Bacterial small subunit ribosomal RNA", at positions 355 to 511 of the family's 1533-position model. The record is from RNAcentral.